UGAGUAUUUUUUCGUAUACCGA
Molecule: microRNA, 22 nt
Filed under: Schmidtea mediterranea
Lineage: Eukaryota; Metazoa; Platyhelminthes; Tricladida; Dugesiidae
Description: sme-miR-2158-5p
Source: miRBase by way of RNAcentral